RNAcentral lists this ribosomal RNA (234 nucleotides) under Ochetomyrmex neopolitus. RNAcentral describes it as "partial large subunit ribosomal RNA". Lineage: Eukaryota; Metazoa; Arthropoda; Insecta; Hymenoptera; Formicidae. The record is from RNAcentral.
GAGUUUUAUAUAAUUAUUAUUAUAGUUUUUUUGGUAUUUUGUAUGAAGGUAAUAUUAAUUAUAGUUAGUUGGGAGGAUUGUUAAAUUUUUUAAACUUUAAUUAAUAAAUUUACAUAGAUGAAUGAAUUAGGGAGUGAUUAAAUAAUUAGAAAUAAUUUAAUUAAAUAAGAAUUAAUUACCUUAGGGAUAACAGCGUAAUAUUUUUGGUGAGAUCAUAUUAAUAAAAAUGUUUGC